Molecule: ribosomal RNA, 500 nt
Filed under: uncultured bacterium
Lineage: Bacteria
Description: partial 16S ribosomal RNA
Rfam family: Bacterial small subunit ribosomal RNA
Source: RNAcentral
AUUGAACGCUGGCGGCAUGCUUUACACAUGCAAGUCGAACGGCAGCACGGGGGCAACCCAGGUGGCGAGUGGCGAACGGGUGAGUAAUGCAUCGGAACGUACCCGGGAGUGGGGGAUAACGUAGCGAAAGUUACGCUAAUACCGCAUAUUCUGUGAGCAGGAAAGUGGGGGACCGUAAGGCCUCACGCUUCUGGAGCGGCCGAUGUCGGAUUAACUAGUUGGUGGGGUAAAGGCUUACCAAGGCGACGAUCCGUAGCGGGUCUGAGAGGAUGAUCCGCCACACUGGGACUGGGACACGGCCCAGACUCCUACGGGAGGCAGCAGUGGGGAAUUUUGGACAAUGGGCGCAAGCCUGAUCCAGCCAUGCCGCGUGAGUGAAGAAGGCCUUCGGGUUGUAAAGCUCUUUUGUUGGGGAAGAAAUGCUCUGGGUUAAUACCCUGGGGUGAUGACGGUACCCAAAGAAUAAGCACCGGCUAACUACGUGCCAGCAGCCGCGGUAA